RNAcentral lists this ribosomal RNA (498 nucleotides) under uncultured bacterium. Its description in RNAcentral is "bacterial SSU rRNA". It matches the Rfam family "Bacterial small subunit ribosomal RNA", at positions 39 to 526 of the family's 1533-position model. The record is from RNAcentral.
UACAGCCGCCGCCGUAACACAUGCAAGUCGAGGGGUAGCAGGAUUAAGCUUGCUUAAUUGCUGACGACCGGCGCACGGGUGCGUAACGCGUAUGCAACCUACCCUAUACUGGGGUAUAGCCCGAAGAAAUUCGGAUUAAUCCCCCAUAGUAUAUAUGAAUCGCAUGGUUUAUAUAUUAAAGGUUACGGUAUAGGAUGGGCAUGCGUCCCAUUAGCUAGAUGGUGAGGUAACGGCUCACCAUGGCGACGAUGGGUAGGGGGCCUGAGAGGGUGGUCCCCCACACUGGUACUGAGACACGGACCAGACUCCUACGGGAGGCAGCAGUGAGGAAUAUUGGUCAAUGGGCGAGAGCCUGAACCAGCCAUGCCGCGUGCAGGAAGACGGUCCUAUGGAUUGUAAACUGCUUUUAUUUGGGAAUAAACUCUCCGACGUGUCGGAGCCUGAAGGUACCAAAUGAAUAAGCACCGGCUAACUCCGUGCCAGCCGCCGCGGUAAAAC